CUUGAUUAGUGGCGCACGGGUGAGUAAUGCAUAGAUAAUGUGCCCCUUAGUUCGGGAUAGCCACUGGAAACGGUGAUUAAUACCGGAUACUCCUUCUUGUUAUAAGACAAGUCGGGAAAGUUUUUCGCUAAAGGAUCAGUCUAUGUUCCAUCAGCUUGUUGGUGAGGUAAUGGCUCACCAAGGCUAUGACGGAUAUCUGGUUUGAGAGGAUGAUCAGACACACUGGAACUGAGACACGGUCCAGACUCCUACGGGAGGCAGCAGUGAGGAAUAUUGCACAAUGGAGGAAACUCUGAUGCAGCAACGCCGCGUGGAGGAUGACGCAUUUCGGUGUGUAAACUCCUUUUAUUAGGGAAGAUAAUGACGGUACCUAAUGAAUAAGCACCGGCUAACUCCGUGCCAGCAGCCGCGGUAAUACGGAGGGUGCAAGCGUUACUCGGAAUCACUGGGCGUAAAGGGUGCGUAGGCUGGCUUUUAAGUCAGAUGUGAAAUCCAAUGGCUCAACCAUUGAACUGCAUUUGAAACUGAAAGCCUAGAGUUCAGAAGGGGCAGAUGGAAUUAGUGGUGUAGGGGUAAAAUCCGUAGAUAUCACUAGGAAUAUCAAAAGCGAAGGCGAUCUGCUGGGAUGAUACUGACG
This 637-nucleotide ribosomal RNA is filed under the name uncultured bacterium. RNAcentral's name for it is "bacterial SSU rRNA". It matches the Rfam family "Bacterial small subunit ribosomal RNA", at positions 87 to 745 of the family's 1533-position model. The record is from RNAcentral.